RNAcentral lists this ribosomal RNA (274 nucleotides) under uncultured bacterium. RNAcentral's name for it is "partial 16S ribosomal RNA". It matches the Rfam family "Bacterial small subunit ribosomal RNA", at positions 523 to 796 of the family's 1533-position model. The record is from RNAcentral.
AUACGGAGGGGGUUAGCGUUGUUCGGAAUUACUGGGCGUAAAGCGUACGUAGGCGGAUUAGUAAGUUAGGGGUGAAAUCCCGAGGCUCAACCUCGGAACUGCCUCUAAAACUGCUAGUCUUGAGUUCGAGAGAGGUGAGUGGAAUUCCUAGUGUAGAGGUGAAAUUCGUAGAUAUUAGGAGGAACACCAGUGGCGAAGGCGGCUCACUGGCUCGAUACUGACGCUGAGGUACGAAAGUGUGGGGAGCAAACAGGAUUAGAAACCCGGGUAGUCC